GAAUAGUUUCACUACCUUAAGUAAAAGAAAGAAUUAAUGUUACCGAACUUUUAGAUCUUGCAAAGAUUAAUGAAAAGUGCGAAUCACACGUAUCCUUUCCUCCUUUCUCUACCCCAUGUAUUUUACCAAUCUAACGUUUCUGUGACGUCAAAAGACGUAAUUCUUGCCUAGACGGCCGUAAUUUGGAUAUCAGAAAAGAGAAAAAAAUAGGAGACAACCAGCAUUGAGGUUUUACUUGGCCUUCAGCAUUCAGUUUUCCUCGUGUCAAGAAACGGAGGUACAGGGAAACUACAAAAAUGCUACAACAUAGCAAAAUGCAUCGGAAAGGAAAUGACAGAAAAAUCUAAAGUUCGAAAGAUAUUAUUCAAUGCAUCUCACCAAGUUUUCAAAUAGAAGAAAGAAAACUCAGAAGAAAGAUGACAUUCAUCACAACCAGCUGCCGUAUUCUCGAGAAAACUCAGGAUACCGGAACUUCUUCUUCAUAUCAUACACAGAAUUCAGACCUACUUUCUGAAGACAGAGGGUCUGGAAUUUGGCGUGGUUCCCAUGGCAAUGAGCAGAAGCAACUGGGUUUCCCCGUUUGAAAUGCAGCCAACGCUCCUUAGCUUCAAUUCAGUAACCAUCGAUUAGCUUCAAUUCAGUAACCACCAUUUUGUGACAAUGUUUUUUCCCUAUUAUGACUACACCAUGAUUCAAUAUAAUGGGAAAAAACAAACAUUGCUAUCAUGUUAUGAUAUAAUGCUUGAGAUGUUGUAAAAUUGAAGUCAUGUUAUGAUAUAAUGCUUGAGAUGUUGUAAAAUUGAAGUCAUGUUAUGAUAUAAUGCUUGAGAUGUUGUAAAAUUGAAGUCAUGUUACGUCAUUAUGUCUGAUCUAUUAUAAAAAUAAACUAGUGUAUGUUCGCAAAAGUAAA
Stegodyphus dumicola is the source of this 910-nucleotide long non-coding RNA. Lineage: Eukaryota; Metazoa; Arthropoda; Arachnida; Araneae; Eresidae. The record is from RefSeq and is a predicted model, not a curated record.